GACGAACGCUGGCGGCGUGCUUAACACAUGCAAGUCGAACGAUGAACCCGGGGCUUGCUCCGGUGGAUUAGUGGCCAACGGGUGAGUAACACGUGAGUAACCUGCCCUUGACUCUGGGAUAACUGCGGGAAACUGUAGCUAAUACCGGAUACGACCCUCGGCGGCAUCGCCAGGGGGUGGAAAGAAUUUCGGUCAAGGAUGGACUCGCGGCCUAUCAGCUAGUGGGUGUGGUAACGGCUCACCAAGGCGACGACGGGUAGCCGGCCUGAGAGGGUGACCGGCCACACUGGGACUGAGACACGGCCCAGACUCCUACGGGAGGCAGCAGUGGGGAAUAUUGCACAAUGGGCGCAAGCCUGAUGCAGCAACGCCGCGUGAGGGAUGACGGCCUUCGGGUUGUAAACCUCUUUUAGUAGGGAAGAAGCGAAAGUGACGGUACCUGCAGAAAAAGCACCGGCUAACUACGUGCCAGCCGCCGCGGUAA
This 484-nucleotide ribosomal RNA is filed under the name uncultured bacterium. Its description in RNAcentral is "partial 16S ribosomal RNA". It matches the Rfam family "Bacterial small subunit ribosomal RNA", at positions 28 to 523 of the family's 1533-position model. The record is from RNAcentral.